Molecule: ribosomal RNA, 954 nt
Filed under: Cimex hemipterus
Lineage: Eukaryota; Metazoa; Arthropoda; Insecta; Hemiptera; Cimicidae
Description: SSU rRNA
Rfam family: Eukaryotic small subunit ribosomal RNA
Source: RNAcentral
AGGAAGGCAGCAGGCACGCAAAUUACCCACUCCCGGAACGGGGAGGUAGUGACAAAAAAUAACGAUACGGGACUCGAUAUGAGGCCUCGUAAUCGGAAUGAGUACACUCUAAAUCCUUUAACAAAAAUCUAUUGGAGGGCAAGUCUGGUGCCAGCAGCCGCGGUAAUUCCAGCUCCAAUAGCGUAUAUUAAAGUUGUUGCGGUUAAAAAGCUCGUAGUUGGUUCUGCGUCCCGCGCUGUCGGUACACCGUUUGUCGGUGACACUGGCAUGACGCGGGAUGUCCUGUCGGUGGCGGCGGAGACCAUAUCGUCGUCGGAUAACACCGCGGCGUGUUGGCCUUCUGUCGCCGGCUAUAUCCUACCGCGGUGCUCUUCACUGAGUGUCGAGGUAGGCCGACACGUUUACUUUGAACAAAUUAGAGUGCUUAAAGCAGGCAAAAAUCUCUGCCAGAAUAGUGGUGCAUGGAAUAAUGGAACAGGACCUUGGUUCUAUUCUGUUGGUCUCCGGAACACAAGGUAAUGAUCAAUGUGGACAGGCGGGGGCAUUCGUAUUGCGGCGUUAGAGGUGAAAUUCUUGGAUCGUCGCAAGACGCACUAGAGCGAAAGCAAUUGCCAAGUAUGUCUUAAUUGAUCAAGAACGAAAGUUAGAGGUUCGAAGGCGAUCAGAUACCGCCCUAGUUCUAACCAUAAACGAUGCCAGCCAGCGAUCCGCCGAUGUUCCUUUGAUGACUCGGCGGGGAGCUUUCCCCGGGAAACCAAAGCUUUUGGGUUCCGGGGGAAGUAUGGUUGCAAAGCUGAAACUUAAAGGAAUUGACGGAAGGGCACCACCAGAAGUGGAGCCUGCGGCUUAAUUUGACUCAACACGGGAAACCUCACCAGGUCAGGACAUUGGAAUGAUUGACAGAUUGAUAGCUCUUUCUUGAUUCAGUGGGUAGUGGUGCAUGGCCGUUCUUAG